This 98-nucleotide microRNA precursor is filed under the name Sus scrofa (pig). RNAcentral describes it as "mir-544 microRNA precursor family". It matches the Rfam family "mir-544 microRNA precursor family". Lineage: Eukaryota; Metazoa; Chordata; Mammalia; Artiodactyla; Suidae. The record is from Rfam by way of RNAcentral.
AUUAUCUAAGGAUCUUGCUAAAAUGCAGAUUCUGAUUGAAUAGAUCUGAGGUGGGACCCAAUAUUCUGCAUUUCUAAUAAGCUCCCAAGUGAUGCUAA